Long non-coding RNA from Malurus melanocephalus (red-backed fairy wren), 939 nucleotides. RefSeq lists it as uncharacterized. NCBI's taxonomy places the organism in Eukaryota, Metazoa, Chordata, Aves, Passeriformes, Maluridae. The transcript is spliced from 3 exons. The record is from RefSeq and is a predicted model, not a curated record.
UUAAAGAUAUUCCCUGCCAGCCUUAGCAUGAGUCUGUCACGUUAUAAAUGACUCUCCCUCCAUUUGCCAUGUAGGAAUUGUCUCAGAUACCUGGGGCAACAAGAGAGGAUGGGAGCACAUUAACAAACAUUUUGCUGUGGUGAGGCAUUCUGAAUGUGAAAUGCCUUUCAUCCAGUAUGACCAGCGUCCUUUACACCUAAAGGCUUGCUCCUCUUCAACAUGUAUUUUGUCUCCUGAUGUUUUUAAUCCUUAGGGGUGCAAGUCCUGCUCACUUCAAUUUUGCAGUCUCCUGCCCAUCUGCAUUUAGCCAACAUGAUUGUGAGAAGAAAAUCAGGGAGUCACUAUAAGGGAUGUUGCUCAUAUCGCUGUGUCCUAUCGAGUAUCUUUGCUACAGAAGAUCUCCAGCCGCUGACCGCUGUGCUCCUGUGGUGCCUGUGCUCUGCAGGAGUGACUUUGAACACCACAGAGCAGUGAGCACAGGUCUGCCAGCCCGUCCCACCGACAUUCCCACAGGCUCUGAGCCAAGCCACGGGCACCGCAGGAGACCAAGAGUGACAAAUAUUUGAAAGCACUAGCAGUGUUCCACAGAACGAAAGCAAAACCUGUAUCAAGAAGACACAGGGAAGUGAAUCAUUGCCUGAGUACAAGACAUUAAAAAUUGAAGAAUGGGAAGUCAGCGUGUGAACAUAUGGUGUGAAUACGAGCUGCAGCUCCAACGCCACAGUGAAAACCCAUUUUCGCAAAGAGUCAGUUUAAUUUUAUGAGCAUGGGGUUUUCCUGCAUUAUCACUCAACUAUAGCACUGAAAUGCUGAUCUAUAAGUGGUUAUAAAAUACAACAAAAAAGCAACUAAGCCCCACACUGCAUCAUUUAAAAACUUCAUUUUAAGAGAAAACAAUAAUUGUUAUCUAAGUAAUCAAUUUAUUAAAUAAUAGGAAAA